AUGAUGUGCUUAAUGGAAUCAAGAGGAGAGAGGUCGCCAACGGAGAAGUGUAGUGAUGUGUCUGAGGUGAUAAUCAGUCUUGAAUAUACUCAAUGGCAAAGUAAGCUCUAUGCCCAACAUGGGGCCGGAACCCACAACCCAGAGAUCGAGUCUCCUGCUCUACUGACAGAGCCAGCCAGGCAUCCCUGGGUUUUUGUUUUUGUUUUCUUGGGUAGAAAAGUAUGGAAAUGAAACGACAUUCAUGAAAUCUAUGAUGAUGAUGAUGCCGUCAAGGAGUUCUCUGACUAGUGGGAGAAAUGGACACCUAAACAGGUACUUAAAAGUGCAUGAGGGAGUGCCAUUCAGUUUGCUAGAGCUUACAUUCCAGCUAGAGAGAGAUGAAAAGUAAAGCGGAGGGCUAGGGAGAGGCCACACCACAGGAAGCCCUGUGCCCCAGGGCUCCUAUACUAGUAGGAUAAAGAACUGCCAUCACCAACAAGGGUCUGAAAUGCUGGAAGUAGAGUUCUCA
RNAcentral lists this transfer RNA (508 nucleotides) under Canis lupus familiaris (dog). RNAcentral describes it as "lncRNA (ENSCAFG00845012082.1)". The record is from RNAcentral. Lineage: Eukaryota; Metazoa; Chordata; Mammalia; Carnivora; Canidae.